AAUUGACGGGGCCCGCACAAGCGGCGGAGCAUGCGGAUUAAUUCGAUGCAACGCGAAGAACCUUACCAAGGCUUGACAUACACUGGUAACGCCCAGAGAUGGGUGCCCCUUUGUGGUCGGUGUACAGGUGGUGCAUGGUUGUCGUCAGCUCGUGUCGUGAGAUGUUGGGUUAAGUCCCGCAACGAGCGCAACCCUCGUCCUAUGUUGCCAGCGGGUCAUGCCGGGGACUCAUGGGAGACUGCCGGGGUCAACUCGGAGGAAGGUGGGGAUGACGUCAAAUCAUCAUGCCCCUUAUGUCUUGGGCUUCACGCAUGCUACAAUGGCCGGUACAAAGGGCUGCGAUACCGCGAGGUGGAGCGAAUCCCAGAAAGCCGGUCUCAGUUCGGAUUGAAGUCUGCAACUCGACUUCAUGAAGGCGGAAUCGCUAGUAACCGCGAAUCAGCAGGUCGCGGUGAAUACGUUCCCGGGCCUU
RNAcentral lists this ribosomal RNA (472 nucleotides) under uncultured Curtobacterium sp. Its description in RNAcentral is "bacterial SSU rRNA". It matches the Rfam family "Bacterial small subunit ribosomal RNA", at positions 908 to 1382 of the family's 1533-position model. Lineage: Bacteria; Bacillati; Actinomycetota; Actinomycetes; Micrococcales; Microbacteriaceae. The record is from RNAcentral.